UGUCCAGACUCCUACGGGAGGCAGCAGUGGGGAAUAUUGCACAAUGGGGGGAACCCUGAUGCAGCGACGCCGCGUGGGUGAAGGAGCACCUCGGUGCGUAAAGCCCUAUCGGCAGGGAAGAAAAGCGAACAGGUUCGCCUGGACGGUACCUGACUAAGAAGCCCCGGCUCACUACGUGCCAGCAGCCGCGGUAAUACGUAGGGGGCAAGCGUUAUCCGGAUUUACUGGGUGUAAAGGGAGCGUAGACGGCUGUGCAAGCCAGAUGUGAAAGCCCGGGGCUCAACCCCGGGACUGCAUUUGGAACUGCGCGGCUGGAGUGCAGGAGGGGCAGGCGGAAUUCCUGGUGUAGCGGUGAAAUGCGUAGAUAUCAGGAGGAACACCGGUGGCGAAGGCGGCCUGCUGGACUGCGACUGACGUUGAGGCCCGAAAGCGUGGGGAGCAAACAGGAUUAGAUACCCCGGUACU
This 465-nucleotide ribosomal RNA is filed under the name uncultured bacterium. RNAcentral describes it as "bacterial SSU rRNA". It matches the Rfam family "Bacterial small subunit ribosomal RNA", at positions 328 to 794 of the family's 1533-position model. The record is from RNAcentral.